UUCAGAGGUCUCAAGCGUUGUUCGGAUUCAUUGGGCGUAAAGGGUGUGUAGGUGGCGCCGUAAGUCGGGUGUGAAAUUUCGGAGCUUAACUCCGAAACUGCAUUCGAUACUGCGGUGCUUGAGGACUGGAGAGGAGACUGGAAUUCAUGGUGUAGCAGUGAAAUGCGUAGAGAUCAUGAGGAAGACCAGUGGCGAAGGCGGGUCUCUGGACAGUUCCUGACACUGAGACACGAAGACCAGGGGAGCAAACGGG
This 253-nucleotide ribosomal RNA is filed under the name uncultured bacterium. Its description in RNAcentral is "partial 16S ribosomal RNA". It matches the Rfam family "Bacterial small subunit ribosomal RNA", at positions 524 to 776 of the family's 1533-position model. The record is from RNAcentral.